CUUAUUAUCAUGAGGAGGGACAGAAAAUCAUCAGAAACCUAGAUGGCUUGUUUUUUUCCACAGACCUUUUCAAGGCGCAGGUUGCGUUAUGAACAGCACUGUCUGAGAAACAGCACUAGUGACCACAAAAAUGCAGAAAAGCAGUAAUGACUAACUUAAAUCAAUAUUAAACAAACGAAAUGAGCCCACGGGCCUUUGGAUUAAGAAGCUGCUGUUAUGCUUCAGUUUUUCAGAAUGCAUGGUACUUCACAUCCUCCACAUUCAUGUGUAUAUGGAACACUGAAAACUAGAAAGCUCUCCUACCACAAAAUGUAUCUGUACACAAUACUAACAGCUGAGAGGCACCUUGAGGAAGUGAGCAUCAUGAAAAAGAGUUAACCAACAAAAGCGAUCAUGUGUCUUUUGUGGUGGUGCCAGAAACAGGAGAGAGCCAGGUGUAUUAUCCACAGCCCCAUUCAUCAUUUCAGAGAAGUGGAC
Molecule: long non-coding RNA, 477 nt
Filed under: Cyanistes caeruleus (blue tit)
Lineage: Eukaryota; Metazoa; Chordata; Aves; Passeriformes; Paridae
Description: lncRNA (ENSCCEG00000011891.1)
Source: RNAcentral